CAACACAAAAUAGAAUAUAGGUCCGUCCUGAGGUAGACUGUGCAUACAUCACACCCCUUUGGUGCGAUUUUUUUUUCCUAAUAAUGUCUUAAUGUGGAAUGCUUUGUAAACCAGACUACCUAAUCCCAAGUACUAGUAGUUCUACUUCUUUAAGUCGGGUAGAAGGGGUGAGGAGAAGAGAGAGAGAAAGAAUGAAGUUCUUGUUCCAAUGUCCAUGCUGUUCUUGUUUCUGUUUCAUGAAGCCCCAAAAGGGCAAACCAAAAGCAAAAGUGGAAGAAGCAAAACCAAAAGCCAAAGUGGAAGAAGCAAAACCUAAAGAUAAGAAGGUGGAAGAAGCAAAACCAAAAGAGAAAGAAGAAAGCACGCCAGAAUGAAAGCAUAGAGGACAUGGGAUGAUGAUGCAGUUAUACUGUUCUGAUGCAAGUAAUAUUGUUCUUCAUUUACUUAAUUUACUUCUAGUCAUAAUUUAUGGUGUGCAGUCUUUUAACUCUUUUGAAAAAAGCACCUCCUAAAUAUUGUAAUCGUAUGACAAAAUAUUUGCACUUUAUUCUCUCUGAAAUGCAAACCUAGUCUUCAUUAUUAUGUAUGUUUAGAUCCUUUGUCGCACUCAUGUUGGAUUCUCAAAAAAUACAUACUUUUUAAAAGAUACAAUGUAGAAAUUUUGAAGUAUAUGAGAAACAUAACUUGUUAAUAGUUAGAUUUCUCUUAACUAAAUUCCUCAAAUGAUUAUCAAAUUUAGAGUUUUUUUUCCCUUUAAAGGUCAAACAAAAAAUUAUUUUUUGUUAGUGUAAAGUCACUCGAAAUGAAGAUAGAAUCUCAAAAAAUAACUAUAGAUAGAAAAAACACAUAAGCAACUUUUUUAUACUAUACGAAUCCAAGCGAUAAAAGGCUAAAGUGAAUCCUCAACAACAAUUUCAAUUUUAAGAAAGAUGACAUGAUGAUUGACUACGGGGACAGGGCAUAUCUCAUUCAGAGUGUGUUUUAUUGAAAAUUUGGUACUUUAAAUUUCCGUUUUGUCAGUAGAUUGCAGAUACACAAUGGCAUCUGCACUAAACAUACAUCUUGAACAAGUAAUAUAUUCAAGUCUUUUAUUUUUUUAUUUUAAAUAAAGGCUGUUAAUUAAUCAAGAUCAGAAGACACAUAAUCCUGAUCACUUGAUCUAUUAAUUAAGACAAAAUUUAUUGCGACUUAGUAAGCUUCAUUUGUAUAUGAAUAUAAAAUCACUACUUGAAACUACAAAUUUGGGUAAGGGUUGAUUUGAAGUUGAAAUUAUGUUUGGAUAUAUAAUUUAACUUUCAAAAAUUACUAUUUUUUCUUAUAAAUUUGAAAAAAAAUUCUCAGAAAUUGUGAAAUCUAUGAAUUUUUUUUCAAACUCCUUUAUAAUCUUAUAAAAGAAGCAAAUGAUAAGUCAUAAAUCCAAGGUAUUGGAAUAUCCUAAGGCAACACAUUAGUAUUUAACAUAGAUUUCAUGUCCCUUUUAUAAAAAUUUGCUUGUAAAUACGUGUUGUUAUAAAUGUUGAAAUGCAUAUAACUUCAGAAAGAUCCACUAAUUCAAUAAAUUAACAAUAGUACUCUUAGGUGUCGUUUGGUUUGAAAAUGGUUAUCCCGCGAUAAUUAAUACCGGAAUUAGUUAUCCCGGGAUUACCCGGGAUAACUUAUUGUUAAAAUUGAUCUUGGGCCUAACUCACACCUCAAAAGCUAGCUCAUGAGGAGGAGAAUUGCCCAAGCCUUAUAAAGAGAUCACCCAUCUCAUUAACCACCAAUGUGAGACUUUCUUUUCAAUCUUUUUAACAACCCACCUCACGCCCAGACCUCAACUGGCCGUUGACAAUACCAUGUUAAAAUUGGGCUUGAGCCUAACUCACACCUCAAAAGUUAGCUCAUGAGGAGGAGGGCCCCCAAAUUGAGAUGUCGGGGAGAUUGUCCACGCCCAGUUGAGGUCUGGGCCCCAGUUAAGGUGUGGGCGUGAGGUGGGUUGUUAAAAAAAUUGAAAAGAAAGUCCCAAAUUGAUGGUUAAUGAGAUGGGUGAUCUCUUUAUAAGGCUUGAAUAAUCCUUUUCCUCGUGAGCUAGCUUUUGAGGUGUGAGUUAGGACCAAGACCAAUUUUAACACUUAUCCCCACCAUGUAUAUGAGAUAAGUUAUCCCGGGACUAAGGGGAAAAUGGUGGAAUAAGUUAUCCCGGGUUGGAUUAAUCCCUCCAAGCAAACAAAGGAAAAUGUGUUCUUUUAUUUUAUCCCGGGAUAAUUAGUUAUCCCAGGAUAAUUAGUUAUCCCGGGAUAACCAUUUUCAAACUAAACGAACCCUUAGUACCAACAUCGAUUGUGGUGUAGUGGUAGGACUAUUCCACCCUUAGCCAGAGAUCUCGGGUUCGAGUAUAAGUAUGGAGAAAUUUUGGUUGGGAGUGUCACCCUCAAAAUGGGCCCUAUAAUGUGCGAUCCGAAUUAGUCGGAGCUUCAAUACGAAAACCGAACACUAGGUGGAAAACAAAAAAGAAUAGUGCGUGGUCCUAGUAACAAUCUAUUCCAUAAUAUAAUCAUUCGAACAAUCAAUUCACAUCGAGUACUUGUCUAGUUUUACAAAUUUCAAAAUUACAAACUUUUUUCUCGCAAAAUUAAAAUUAUGGAUCAAGUUUUGAUUUCUACAAUAAUUAAAACCAUAAAUCUGAAAUUGAAAUCUACCCUUUAGGUUAAUUUGAUAUUUGAAAACAACAUUUCAAAUAAAAGUUGAAGUUUUUUUUGAAAUAUUAUAAAUAAAUACAAAUUUAAAAUCUAAACAUCAAAUUUAUAGUUCAAAUUGCAUUGCCAAACACCUGUUUAGUACUUGCAGUUUAUUUUAAAAUAAAGAAAAACGGGAGAAUGAUCGCAUUUCCAGUGUAAUGAAUAACUUUUUCAAGUGGCAACAAUUUUGUGGACUCUAAUAACAAACUAAUUUGAUAAAUCCAGGAUCCAUUUUAUGGUGGGUCUUCUGAAAUUAAAAAUUGAGUUCACCACUCAAGUCCAAAAGAAAAGGUCUCAAAGGACAAUGUUGGAACUAUUGCACUAGUACCUAUAUAGGGGAAAUUUUAGAAAUAACAAACUUGAGUUUAUAAUUACUUCUUCCAUAAUAAUACUUUGCUAGUUACAUUCCUUGUGGUGUUCACGGUUUGAUUAAAAAUCAAAUCGAACCGUAAAUCAAAUUAAAUUGAUUAAAAAAAUUUGAUAUUUAGUUAGGUUUGGUUUGGUUUAAUUUUUGACAUGACCUACCCUGGGACCUUGUCCUAAUGGGCGUCCCAAGUUCGAUCAGGAUCGGAGACCACCUCUGUUACCCAACCCAACCUCCAACCUCCAGCCACCUGCCCUGAGUUGGUUGAAUUCCGAGCAUGUAACAAGAUAGUGUAAAAGCUCACAUAAAAGCUCUGGGAUAAGAUCACAACCUCGUCCGAUCCAAUCGAGUCACCAUCCCAUACCAAUAAUCCAACCAUACCAAACCAUACCAAAACAAGGGCCAUAAACUAAUCCAUAAUCAAAGAUAAUGUUCCAAAACGUAAUAUAAUUAAUACCAAAAUGAAAUAUGACGGAACAGUGAGAAAUUAUGUCCGAUGAUGCAGACCUCCCAGCUUAUUCCAAUGCCAAGGUUGACACCUAUGUCCGAAAAAAGAAAUAAUAUUAGAUUCAGAAUAUUAUUGGUAUCUUAUAAACCUAAAUAAAGAAUAUACAAAUUUAUAUGACGUUUUACUAUAACAAAGAAAGUUAUAUAAUAGUUUACUCGAAGUCUUACCAGGUCUAAGCGGAGAGGUUUAUCAAGAACUAAGACAAAAAGAUAAUAGAUUAUCAUAAGUACAGAUCAAAAUAUUUUACUACAAAGACGAAAUAAAAAUAAAAUAAAUUUGGACACAAAAGAACGCUAUUUAUCUAGCUUAAUGAGAAGACCUCGUAGAACUACUAUGUCCUACAAAGAGAUUAAGGAAACAUUAAAUGACCUAUAUUUAGAUUAUAAGAGACUUAAUAAUACAAAAGAAGAUCAUAUAAGACUAGAUCAGCUAAUCACCAUAAUAUCCCGACUAUAAUAUAAAUUGAUAGGAUAUCUCAAAUCUAGGGAUAAAUGAGAAUAUACCUGUGGGGUAGAAGUAUACAACUAAAAUAUUUGUACGUAAAUCGAGAAAUAAUACUAAGAAGAAAGGCGGUAGAAUUAGAAAAAGUUUUAAGUAAUUUUUUGAGUAUACUAGAAUCAUCGAAAACACCAAAAUCAUGACUUUUAAAAGAAUAUAUAAGUGCCUUAAAGGGGGAAUUAGAAGGUAUUAGGAGUGAUAUAGAAUGAUAUAAUAAACAAAUAAGACUUCAUAGAGAACAGUGUAGAGAAAUUAUUCCUUUAGGAUAAAAGUAAGCCACAGUAAAUAAAAAAGAUAUAUGAAAACACAUCCUUUUGCUCGACUAGUACAAAGACCAUAUAAUCAAUUAUAUAAAGAAUUGAAACAACAACAACAACAACAAUAACAACCCAGUAUAUUCCCAUAAAGAAAGAAUUGAAACAAAGAAACGAAAUUUUAAAAAAUAGAACAAACCUUAAUAAAUCAAAUAGAGGUAGUAGAAACUAUAGAAUUAUCAGAAGCAAUUAUAAUUUCAGAACCUAUAAAUCUUUAGACUGCAUAGAUCAUAUAAACUUGUUAAAUUAUAAAUUAGAAGGUAUUAGAUAUUGCAUAGAAUAUAGAAAUAUUAGAAUAAAAUCCAUUAGAGAACAAUGUAUUAGCAAUACUUUUCGUUAGGGUAAGAAUAGUGUUGGAAUUGAUAACUUAAAGAAAUUAGAGUAUUUAGAUCUAAAAAUUCAGAUGGAGAAGAAAUAUAGAUGUUUUAAAGAUAAUUCACUUAUUAGGUGUAAUUUUAACAACGGUGAACAUAUAUUAUAUGGAGAAGAUCCACAACCAAAUACUAUUACAGACCUUAUAAUAAAUCUAGAAGAACUGGUUCAAAAGAAAAUACUAAAAUACUAAAGACUCUAGAAAUAUUUGAAGAUCUGCAAAACAAACAAAAGAAACUGUUAGAUAAAGUAGAAUAAAAUUUUGAUUUCCUAAAGAAUUAACAAGCAGAACUAGAAAAGAAAGUUAAAGAUUUAAUUAAUAAAGAUAAAGAGGGUAACCUAGAACAUCCUGAAAUAAAACUAGUGCUACAAGAAAUAAGAAAAGAAAUGAAUCAAAUAAAAUAAAUAACACUCUCAUGAAUAAUAUUUCUAUAAAUGAUCAACUCUACUUAGCAAUAUUACAAAAGGCAACACAAAUUCAAUCAAACCCCAAAGGAUUAUCAGAUUAUCAACCUCAAGGAAAAGCAGACUCCAUAGUCAUAAAAUUAAAUAAUAUUAUAAUAUUGUUAUUAUUAGAACUUAAUAAAAAUCUAGAAAAAUCAAAACAACAAGUUAGCCAAGAUAAAAAUAUAGAAGAGUUAAUAGAGCAAUUAAAGAAAAUAGAAUUAAUCCUUCUGAAAGAAAAAGAAAAAGCUAAAACGACUAAACCUAAAACAUGGACCUUUUUCCAACAUCCAUAAGCAAGCCAAGAUCAAGUUUUAUCAAAGACAGAUUAACAAAUAGUGUGAUAUCCAAAAUAACAAGUAGACCAAAAAUGACUUCAAGAUAACAACUAGAAGAAAUAGUAGACGUGGAUAAAGAUAUACAAUUAUUCCAACAAAAUAAAUUAAAACUUUUGAGAGCCAAAACUUCAUACAAUGAAGGAAUAUUUUCAACAGCAUAAUUAUAUAGGUGUUAUAGAGAAGAACAACUAUGUGUUAUUAGAGAAAAUAGCUAUAGUAUAAAUUUAAUAAGCACAAACUCUUUAAAAGAAAUUACAAAAUUAAACUUGAGCCUUCUGCACAUGAGACUAAUAGUAAUAGGAUUAAAAGGAUUAACUAGGAAGAACAUAGGAAUUAAAGUAUUGGUUACAAUAUACGAUAAUAGAUGGUCAGAUUCAAAAAGGUCUAUAAUAUAAAUAAUUGAAGUAGACAUGUCAUGUAAUGGAGGACUUUUUUAUUAUAGUCCAGACUAUAUGACAAAUUCUCUAGAAUUUGGAAAGUACAUAAAAAUAGGUAUUCAGACUAAAGGUUAUGAAGAGAUGAAUAAUGGAAAUAACUUACUAAUAUGUGUAGGUUUUAGUGGAAAACUUUCCACUAAUAGUGAUACAAAGUUUAAGUUAAAAAUAGAGGACGUAGUAAGCUUAAUGAGGAAUAAAGGAAUAAGACUAAUAAAGCCAUUAAAGAUAAAUUCAGAAGAAUAUGCACGACUAGCAUAGGAUCUAGAGAAAUUUAGUAAGAAAGAAAUACUAAACCCAACUGAUCAUUUUAUGUAUACGAAUAAAAAAGAAAGAACCUCAGUCAGAUUCACCGACUAUACAUAUACAAAUAAAAGAGAGAUAGAUGAGGAAGCUGAAGCAAGUGAAAAUAAUAACUAUAUGAAUAUAGAAAUAAUAGAAGAAGAUGGUUUCGAAGUAAAUAAGUCCAUAAUGAAAACAGAAUCCCUAUACGAAAUAAAUAACAAUAGAGUGUUUAAAUGUAUAGGCUGUAAAAUAAGAAAUCUAAAGCUUACCGAAGUAAAAAAACAUUUUAUCAAAUGUAAAUUAAGAACAGAUAAUUAUGGUUAUACAUUCAAAAAGAAAAGCAAAAAAGAAGAUUUAGAAAUAAUUUACAGUAUAGAUAAGAUAGAAAGUAUAACUACAAAAAAUUUACCAAGAUAUAGAGUAUUUGGAAUAAAUCCUAAAGAAUAGACAAAACAAAAUAUAAAACCCAGAGGAAGAAGAAUGCCAAUAAAAGAGCCCAUUAGAUUACAAGAGGGUGGUAAUAAGGAAAAUAUUUUAAAUCUGGCGACUCAUGACCCUCAGACGUGGAAUACUGCAAUAGACCUAUGAAAAAAUCUAGUUGUAGCAAAUUACAUACAAGCUAAUCAAGAACCAGAUAUAGAAAAUAUGUAUAGAUAUCUAGAAACAUUCAUAGGAGAAACUACUAAGCCGUUAUAGGAAGCCUACAAGACAAACUUCUCCGAAGAUUUUCAAAGAUUGGUAGAUUUAGGAUCCAAUCCAUAUAAUUUUGUAAAUAAAGUACAUACUUUACUAAUAGGAGAAGAUCCCAAUAGUGGAUUAAUAGUAUUACAGAAAAAGGCUUUAAUAAAUUUAGAGAAAUUAAGUAUAAAUAAUUGGUCAAAAAUUAAGGAAUUUCUAAAUGAGUAUUUCUAUUAUUGUAUCAUUAGUGGAAACUCCUUUGACUAGUCUCGAGAAAAAAGAUUGUUUAAUAAAUUACUUGGAACCUUAGUAAGAGAAAUAUAAAAAAAUGAUCUAAAAGAGAAGGAGUAGUACAAAACUCGAGACACUAAAUGGUCAACAAGACAGAGAAUACAACAUGUAAUGGAAGUAUUACAAGAAAAGUGUACAAAUACACAAAUACAAAAAUAAUUAAAAAGAAGUGAUACAGAUUUCUAUAAAAAUAUAUAUACUACACAACAAUAUGAUCAAGAUUAUAAGAAAAAAAGAUAUAAAAAACUAUAUAAAAGGGAUUAUUGUCCUAAGAAAAAAAAUUAUUUAAGAAAGUCAAAAGAAAAAAAUCAUUUCUAAACAAAUAGAGACAUAUAAGAAAAUAUAACACCAAUAGAACUUAUAAAAAUAAAUUAGAAUGUUUUACUCAUGGAAGUAUAGAACAUUUAGCAAAUACUUGUCCAAAAAGAAAUAAUAGUAGAUCUAGAAAUGCACAACUAAUAGACGAUGUAAAUGAAAAUCUAAUAAAUAUAGAUGAAUAUAUGUCAGACAACCAAAGCAUAUACUCCAUCAGGAGUAUGGAGGUAUUUGAAGAAAAAAAAAUACCUAUUGGAUUCCUCGGAUUCUGAAGGAGAAGAAUUUAUAGAUGAAGUAGGAUUAGAAAAUAUAAUUCCAAACUAUCAUGAUUUAGUCAACUUUAUAGAAGUCUGUGAACAUGAAUUUGUAAGAGGUAAGAGACUAGACAGUAACCAAUGUUUUAAUUUGGAUGGUUUUCAAGUAAAAAUAAAAGGGCAAAAUGCAGAAAAUGUUAUAUAGAAGGAUGCAUAACUUAUAUAGAAAAAAACUCACAAAUACAAAAACUAGAAAUUUAAAUAGACAGGAACCAAUGAAUAAAAUAACGGAUUAUAAAAUAUUAGAACUAGAAGAAAGACAAAGAAGGUUGGAAAUAAGAAUAAAUAGACUCGAGAAAAAUAAAGAAGUAAUUAAGGAAGAAGAAGUAUUAGAAAUAAAAUUAUCGAGUACAUCCGUGAAGGAAAUAGUGGAUAAUCAAAAUAAACAGAAAAAAAUCAAUGAAUAUACCAUUCGAAGGAAUGAUAAGUAAUGGAGAUAAAAAGAUUAGUACAGUCAAAGUUUUAACAAGAAUAAGGAUUCAAAAUUAUGAGUUUGAAACAUUAGCCAUAGUAAAUUCAGGAUGUACAUGAAGUAUAUUAAAAGACUUAAUUUUGCCACCAUGACUAAUUAAAGAAUUACUAAAGCCACAAGACUCCAUGCCAAUGGAUGGAACUUAUAACACCUAUACAAAGUAUAUACCAAGAGCAAAAGUAAGUUUUAUUAACACUUGCAAAAAAUUCUAUCAGUCAUUAUUUAAACUUAAUGGAAUACUGGUUAGAGACUUAAACAUAAAGGCAGACUUUGUGUUAGGAUUAGAUUUUAUGGUACGAAAUAAUGGAGGAUGUUUUGAUACUAGAGAUUGGAUAAUUUUUGAGAGUAAUAUUACUCAUUCACUAGUAUAGACAUGACCUAUACUAACUAAUUAUAGUUUUCUUAAGGAUAAAUCAGAAGAAGAAAGCUCAAAUAGUCAAAUAAAACCCGACAAAUCACUAGAAUGUGAUAAGGGAGAAAAUUGUACAUGUAGUAACAAUAAAAAGAUAACAAUGUAUGAACAAUUAAAAGAUUUAUUAACAGUAGAAGAAUUAGAAAAAGACUACACUAUAAUAGAAAUGGAUAUAAAAUUAUACAAUUUUCAGAGAGAAAUACAACUGAUAGGUGUAAUGCCCCGUAAUUUGGGCUAUAAUAUAGACCAUGAUUUCGAUGUGUUGUUAAUCCCAAAGCUAUAAAAUCCUAUCCUGAUACGGCAUGUUAAUUAUUGUGUGGCAUGUGAAUCUACUCAAGCUUGAGUUUAGACCAUAGAGGUCCUUCAACUCAAGGGCGAGUUGAAACUAUUUCGAUCGACUAAGUUUUAGUGGAUGUUGUAAAGUGUGUCAGCUUCCAUCAAUCAUAAAUCUCUGUAUAUGUCGAAUUAGGAAGCCUACUAUGUGUCAAAUGAUAGGUAUUAGAGUUAGCUUUCCAACGAUACCAAUUUGGCUAUAAUCCGACACCCGAGUAAGAAGUUAUGGCCCUUCAAAGUGAUAAGCGUCGCCUAACCAUCGCCCAUGGCCACCAGAAGGCAUAGGAAAUAGCCUACGUGGCGCCUAUGUAAACAUAGGUGAUAGCCUAGGCGGCGCCUAUGUGAACAUAGGCAAUGGGAUGGGCGGUGCCUAUGUAAAGAAUUCUAGUGACUUAAACACUCCGUGUUGAGGACAAAGUGGUCCUUUUCCACCCUUACUUAGCCCUAAAACACGAAAUCUAAUUCUAAGGACCCCAAAAUACAUAUUAUUUCAUCAAAACUGCUUAAGGAUUCUCCUUAGGGUUUUAAAAUAAAAAUCCAAAUAGUUUAAGAUUUGACCGUAGGUUUUCAAAGGUAAUUACUGAUAACGCUCAAUCUACAGCUCUCGUGGGAGUGUAAAGCGGUCGUUAGCAAAUAUAGAACCCAACCUGGGUUGGGUAUCGAUCCCACAGAGAAUAGCUUGGCCAACAAGCAAGAGAAAUUACUAGACUUUUAGUGCAAGUCUCGUAGGAAAGGGGGGAUUGUAGUAUGUAACCAAAACAAGAAGGUAAGAACUGAAAAUAGCAAAAUAAAGAGAGAUUGUCACGUGUGUUGUAAACAAUGAGAAUUGAGGCGUUGGGGUUAUGUCCACCUUCUGAGGUAUACGUCUCUAUUGGCUAUGAGUGUGUAGAGUCUUGACAUGUAAUUGCUUAUAGAGAAUUGUAGUCGAUGGUAAAUCCAAGCGUCUCUCGACCUAAACAAGGACUAUUUCACUUUAACUCUCUCGAGCUUAAAGCGUGACUAACGGUACGAAUUCUCCAAGAAGUUAGUCCAGGUACGGCACUAGCUUUUUAAUAGGAAAGGGUGUCCUACUACCUUGACAUUAUCUCUUUUCCAGACAAAUAACUUUUCUCUCGAACAAGUCAGAUGUUAGACUGGCGUUGGUCUAUGCGUCUUCUUUUCUAGACAAAUAACCUUUCUCUCGAACAGGUUAGAUGUUAGAAUGGCGUGUUCUUGUGUUUGAACCGCAAAGAAUGUAGAUUUAAGAUGAAGAGAAUAAUGAUAUAAGCAAUAUACUUGUCUUGAACUCACAAACUCAUAGCUAUAGAUAGUAACUCAUUCGGCUUCCAUAACCCCAACUAAGAGAUUUAGUUACCCAUGAAUGCGAAGGAUAUCACGUUUUGCAUGGUGGAUGGCGUGAAUAGUAGGUGUUUGGCGUGUGGUUUUAGUGAUUCCGUAGCAAGUAACAAUUCUCUUGUUGUGGAAUUUAAGAGUAGAAGAAUGAAGAAUUGAGAAUGGGUUGUAGGAAGAUGUCUUAAUUGUAAGGAGAUGAAUGAAUUGUCAGAAUGUCUCCCUUCUUGAAAAUCUCUAACAUGAUAGGGUAUUUAUAAUACUCCUAUCCUACUCCUACUAAACUAAUAAAAUAAAUAACCAAAUCCUAAUAUACUAAUGAAAUCCUUGACCCAAUUGUACUAGGGUAAGGUUACAAAAUUAUAAUCCAAAUAGAAUGAUGAAACACAUAACCUAAUUGCACUAGGUUAAUGUAUUAUGGCAAAAAUCCAGCUUUGUGUCUGUAAGUCCCAAAGUCUUCAGAAAUGCUGUUUUAGCCCGGGACAGAUUUUCCAUGCAGCAGAUUUAGUCCUUUAUGCGUCCAGCUCCUUUCCAUCUCGUUUGUGAGCUUUCUUUUGCGUCAAGUAAGCCAUAAAUUGCUGUAUUUUGCAUCAUUUAUACCUGAAACUUUCCUAAUCACAUUUGUUAGCUCAUUUACAGGAAAAAGGACUAAAAGUGUACGAAAUAGAUAAUUAGUUCUCGAAACUAGGCUAAAAUAUGGGCAAAAUAUAUUGAUAUAGGCGCGUAAUUUCGCCUAUCAUCAACACCCCACACUUAGAGCUUUGUUCGUCCUCGAACAACAUAUCAUGUCCUUCUAAGCAUUGACUUAAGGUUUUUACAGAAACAACACAAAACAUUCUUCAAGACAAGCACAACAAUUAUCAACGAAGAGUAGCUUUCCGAUUAUAAGUAGAAACAAUUUAACCUCAAGCAUAGACUCGUGAUGGUGAUCAACUCGCAUGCAAACGUUUAAGGUACAUAGAAUCAUAUACAACUAUCCAAAACUCAUCAACCAUGUGUGUCUCACAAUAUAGUACCCAUAAUCACUCACAAGUAUAGCAUAUUUUUCAAACAUGGGCAGCAAAGUAUCCUUGCGCUCACUCUCACAAAGAAUUCAUAUGUAGCAGCUAAUGACCAUAGGCUUGCCCUUAAUGUAGUACUCCACUAAAUGUCGGAAUGUUAAGGUUAGGAUCAAGUAGGUCUUUUGAUGGUUGUAAUGUAGGCUAAGGGACGGGUAGGAUCAACUAUUUUGGCCAGAAAUAGUGACUAAGUUCCUAAGCACUUUAAUACAUCACAUUGUAUUAUUGACACUUUUUUGUAGCACCCUUGUUCUCCUCUUUUGUUUUUCAAUUUUAAAGCACAACUCACUUUUCAGCUUUCUUUUCCUUUUUCUUCUCACAACAUACCUCUUAUGAUAGCACUUUCUUUUUCAUAACAUAUUCAAGCACCAUUACAAUUUAAAGCAUCAUACUCAACCAAUUUCCUCUUAUGUUGUCACAUGACUUUUUCACUUUAAAGCACUUAGGAAUUUGGAUCAAAUUACGGUCUUGAAAAAAAAAUGAAUUAGGCUUACAUACAAGGUUGUCAAAGAAAUAGGCUAAAGGCUCAAAAGGGUUUAACUAGGAUGAUGUCCAUGGGUAGGUAAAACUGAAGGUAAACAAAUAUAGGUUGCCAAAGAAAUGCCUAAAUCAUAUCCUAAACUUACACUCCUUAUUUUCGCUUUGCAUACAUACCAGGCAAGUUCUAGCAUCAGCCACAUACAUAGAAUAUACUAUUAUCUCACACACACAAGGCACAUGGUCGACUUGAUUGGUAGCAAUAUAGACUCUCAACCCAACAAGUGAAGGAAUUGAAUCACACACUAUCACAUAAUGAGUCACAACUAGAGCCUAAAUGUCUCAAUAGUCACAAUUGUAAUACAUACUAUUGUUAUAAUCUCAUGCUGCCUAUUAAAAUAAUUUCAUGCGAGGCUAGAAAAAUUUUAACUACUAAAAACUAAAAAAAAAACGUCACACGAAAAAAAUCACAAAAAAAAAUCGGACUCAAAACAAAAUAAAUAAAACAAAAUAAACAAGCAAACAUACAAAUAUAGCAUGCAGAUUCUGCCGACACCCCACACUUAGACUAGACACUGCCCUCAGUGGAAAAUAAAGUCGAAGAACCUGAUUAGUCGGACUCUUCCUCAAUGUCAUACCCCCUUCGUUCGAGUCAUCGUAAGAGUCAUCGUCAGAGUUCUCCUCAGCAUCAGAAUCAGGCAAGCGUCUAUCAUCAUCAGUUGGCACGUCAUCAUCAAGAGGUUCCUCGAAAUAUACUCCCACUCCACACAUCUCCCGGGCAUGUCUGUUCAUUGGGUAGUCGUGGUCCAGCUGUUGGAGCUCUUCAGCAGUUGGAAUACGUCCACCACUCAUCAUAGUGAAUCUCGUCAUGCCAUAGAGAUGACGGAAGAAACUCUCGUCACGAGCAUGUCUCUCCGCAGUGGUAAGGUUGACUCCAUGCGUUGUUUCAGCAUCUUUGACCUUGGUGAGGUCAACCUUCUUUGGGGUAUGUGGGAGUUUGUGGUCAGCUGGUUCCUCCUCUAUAUCCUCCUUCCGCAACAUUGCUGUCAACAAAUUGCCGAAUGUGAAAUAGGACCAUUCACAUUCACAUCAGUCUGGCUUUCCUCAUGGUGGAUCGAAUGAUUGCCCCAAAGUUGAUAGGGACAUUCGUCAUUAAUGAAUAAACCAGGCACACUCUAUCUCUCGAUAUCUUUGUGUAUUGCGUCCCAGGAAUGAGGCAUGAGUUGACAAUGCGCAUCCAGAUUCUUGCUUCCCUAUUUAGUGGAGCAUAGGGGAAUGUGUUGUGACGGCCUGUUUCCUUAUGUCUGCCCCAUCUCGCCAUCGAUCUGCUUCCACAAAGCGUGUGUCUUAUAGCUCUGUAAGGAGGUCUGCUGUACAGCUCUUUGUAUGGUGCAGUGUCGACCGAAGGUAGGCCUAGAAACGAGUUGAUCCAAUCCGCUGUAAGCUGUAACACUUGGCCCCGAAUUUUGACUUCGUUGCCUGUUGUGUUUGGCGACCAGUUGGCAUAAAACUCUCUUGUCAAGUCAAGAUUGCACUCUCCCAUGUCACGGAAGAUGAAAUCCAGCUUCAAAGCCAUAAUCUUAGCCAACAUUUGCGGCUCCUUCUUUGCUAAGGUCUCCUUAUUGAUUAAGUCGACGUGCACAUAUUUCUUUUCUUUGUUGCUGCUGUACCAUGCCUUGGCUUCUUCCUCAAGAACCCAUUUGAUUCCGAACAUUCUGCGUGGUAGGUGUGCGGAAGAUGAUUCGCCUUGGUCUUUUCGGCUUCUCUUUUUGUCCUUGCGGGUUGUGGUAGCCUUCUCCUUGCCUUGCCUUGCUUUCGGUGCCAUUGUACCGCCUUUACCAUACAACGCGACCAAAUCGUCAAUUGAAAUCAAUCUCCUCGUUGCAUACUUCUUACACCUAUAUUUGCUCAAACAAAUGAAAACGAUUAGUACGAUGGGUUGCCUCCCACCAAGCGCCUUAGUUUUGGUCGUGGCACGACUCUUAUUUUUGGAUUUUCAUUUAUCAAAAAGAAAAAAUACUAAAACGACAAAACGAUAAAACAAUAAAACGAAGGGUUGCCUCCCAUCUAGCGCCUUAUUUAUUGUCGUGGCUCGACGUAGUAAUCUCGAGUACUUAGACUUCGUCGAGAUAAGUGAUGGCCAUGUCAUUUAUCGAGUCAAGAGGACCGAUAUAUGGCUUAACACGUUGGCCAUUCACCUUGAAGAUAACACCCUCAUUAUUUUCCAAUUCGACUACUCCAAACGAGUAGACGUGGGUGACUUUAAAUGGACCAGACCACUUUGAUUUUAACUUACCUGGGAAGAGCUUGAAUCUGGAGUUAAAGAGUAGCACCAUGUCACCUUUUUGGAAGUGUCGUCGAACAAUCCGCUGAUCGUGAUACUUCUUCAUCCGCUCCUUGUAUAAAUCUGAUCUUUCAUAAGCAUGGAGACGGAAUUCAUCUAGCUCGUUCAGCUGCUCCAACCUCAGGUUCUUCACAUCAUCCCAAUUCAGAUUCAAGUGCUUCAAUGCCCAUAAUGCCUUGUAUUCAAGCUCGAUGGGUAGAUGACAAGCCUUCCCAUAAACUAGCUGAUAAGGUGACAUGCCAAUGGGUGUCUUGAAUGCAGUCCUAUACGCCCAUAGUGCAUCAUCUAGCUUCCGAGACCAAUCCUUCCGAUUCGCAUUGACCGUCUUGGCAAGGAUUUGCUUGAUCUCCCGAUUGGAAACCUCUACUUGUCCACUAGUUUGGGGAUGAUAAGGCGUAGCUACCUUGUGUUGCUUGACUCCAUACUUGGCCAAUACAGAUUUGAAUAGCUUGUUGCAGAAGUGAGAUCCUCCAUCACUUAUGAUAGUACGAGGUACCCCAAAGCGAGAGAAGAUAUUCUUCUUUAAAAACGCUACAACACGCUUUCCUUCAUUAUCGGCCAAUGCUACAGCUUCAACCCAUUUCGACACAUAAUCCACAGCAACCAAGAUGUACUUCAUUCCAAACGAAUUUACGAAUGGUCCCAUGAAAUCAAUACCCCAUACAUCAAAGAGUUCUACCUCCAGGAUUGUGGACAUGGGCAUUUCAUGGUGUUUUGAAAUAACACCUUGACGUUGGCAUUGGUCACACCUUCUCACAUAGUCGUGUGCAUCUCUGAAUAUUGUAGGCCAAUAAUAACCACUUUGCAAGACUUUUCUUGCUGUUCGAUUACCCGCAUGAUGUCCUCCAACUUGCGAAGUGUGGCAUGCUUCUAAUAUAGUGGGCACUUCGUCAUGGGAUAUACAUCGUCGAAUGAUACCAUCCGCACAUCUUCGAAACAAAUAAGGCUCAUCCCAAUAAUAGUGCUGAACGUCAUGCAUAAACUUCCUCCUCUGGUGGUAAGAUAAAUUUGUAGGUAACACAUUACUCACCACGAAAUUCGCAAAGUCGGCAUACCAUGGUAAGUCUUCUAUUGUUGUCGCUAAUAUCUCCUCGUCAGGGAAUGCAUCGCCAAUCUGAUUUUCUGAUUGCGCCACAUACUCAUUCUCAAGUCUAGAUAGGUGAUCAGCCACUUGGUUCUCGCAACCUCUUCUAUCUUUGACUUCGAAAUCAAACUCUUGCAGCAGCAACACCCAUCGAAUCAGCCUUGGUUUUGCAUCCUUCUUUGUCAUUAGAUACCUAAGAGCUGCAUGGUCUGUAUGAACGAUCACUUUAGUACCUAAUAGGUAGGCGCGGAACUUCUCAAACGCAUACACAACCGCUAAUAGCUCUUGUUCAGUGACGGUGUAGUUCCUUUGGGCUUCAUUGAGGACCUUACUCGCAUAGUAGAUAGGAUGAAAUAAUUUCUCCUUUCUCUGUCCAAGAACAGCACCAACGGCUACACCACUAGCAUCACACAUGACUUCGAACGGGAGCGUCCAAUCUGGUGUUACCAUGAUAGGGGCUUCAACGAGUUUUUCUUUAAGGCAUUCAAAUGCCUUUAAGCAAUCAUCAUUAAAGUCAAACUUCGCAUCUUUCUCCAAUAGCUUGCAUAAUGGACUAGAAAUUUUGGAGAAGUCUUUGAUGAAUCUACGAUAAAACCCAGCAUGGCCAAGAAAACUACGAACUCCCUUCACCGAAAUUGGAGGUGGUAGCUUCUCAAUUACCUCUAUUUUGGCGCGAUCAACCUCUAUUCCUUUUUCGGAGAUCUUGUGCCCAAGAACAAUUCCUUCUUUUACCAUGAAGUGGCACUUCUCCCAAUUCAGCACAAGGUUGAACUCUACACAUCUUUGUAAUGCCAUGCUUAAAUUCACCAAACAUGCUUCGAAAGACUCCCCAACAACUGAAAAGUCGUCCAUAAAUACCUCCAAAGUGUCUUCUACCAUAUCAGAGAAAAUAGACAUCAUACAUCGCUGAAAGGUGGCUGGUGCAUUACAUAACCCGAAUGGCAUACGUUUGAAGGCAAACGUACCAUAUGGGCAUGUAAACGUUGUCUUCUCUUGGUCUUCUGGUGCAAUAAAAAUCUGAUUAUAACCUGAAUAACCAUCAAGAAAGCAAAACCAUCCUUUUCCCGCUAAUCGAUCUAGCAUUUGGUCCAUAAAUGGCAUGGGGAAGUGAUCCUUGAGAGUCCAAGAAUUCAGCUUGCGGUAGUCCAUGCAUACUCUCCAUCCAGUGACGGGCCUGAGUGGAAUAAGCUCAUUCUUUGCAUUCGCAACCACCGUCAUACCUCCUUUCUUGGGAACACAUUGUACUGGGCUUACCCAUGUACUAUCAGAAAUAGGAUACACAACUCCUGCGUCUAACCACUUGAUAAUCUCCUUCUUCACCACCUCUUGCAUUGGUGGGUUUAGACGUCUUUGGUGUUCGAUGGUGGGUGUGCACUUUUCUUGGAGCUGAAUUUUAUGAGUGCAAAUUCCAGGUGGAAUACCAAGGAUAUCCGCAAUGGUCCAUCCAAUAGCUCUAAUAUACUUGCGUAAAAUUGCAAUAAGAGCUGCAACUUGUUGCUCACCUAAAUCGGCUGCCACUAUGACUGGAAGAGUGUUUCCGCUUCCUAAGAAUGCAUACUUCAAAUGGCUUGGCAGCUCCUUUAAUUCUAAUGUGGGUGGUUCUUCAAUAGAUGGCUUAGCUGGUGGUGUGGGUCGAUUCUUGAGAUCAAGAUCCAGCUUCUUAGGAGGAUAGCGAUAUGCUCCUAAUCCCGAUAGAGCACAAAUAUCAUCUUCAGAAAUUUCAGCAUCAUCAUCAUCUUCUUCCAUGAGCAAAACCUCCAAAGGAUCAUCAAGAAUUUGUUCUUCAGCAAGUAACUCAUCCUCGUCAUCAACGACAACAUCAGUCACAGAAAAUACACUUAGAUCUUUGGGUUGCUUCAUUGAUUUGCAAACAUCAAAGCGCACCACUUCAUCAUUUAUUCGGAAUGAAAGUUCAUUAGCUCUCAAAUCUAUGAGCACACUUCCCGUAGCAAGGAAAGGGCGUCCCAAGAUUAUGGGAACCUCUGAAUCUGCUUCGCAAUCCAAGAUGACAAAGUCUGCUGGAAAUAUGAAUGAAGAUACCUUCACCAAGACAUCGCAUAGAAUACCAACCGGUCGUUUUACCGACCUAUCCGCCAUAACAAGCUUCAUAUUAGUUGGUGUAGGAUCUCCCAACCCCAACUUCUUGUAGAUUGAUAAUGGCAUCAAGUUGAUGCUGGCUCCUAAGUCACAUAAUGCUUUAGCAAAGUCCAAAGAUCCGACGGUGCAAGGAAUAGUGAAAGCUCCGGGGUCGGCCUUCUUCUGAACUAUGGAUCGGGUAGCUAUUGCACUACAAUGAUGCACAUCUUCUUUCAGCUCAUAGCUUGCUGCCCUCUUCUUAGUCAAAAGAUCUUUCAUAAACUUCGCAUACCCAGGCAUUUGUUCAAGUGCCUCUACCAAUGGGACAUUAAUAGUCAGCUGCUUCAAGAUGGUCAUGAACUUGCUGAACUUAGUGUCAUCGGCCGCCUUCUUCAGUCUUUGUGGAAAAGGUGGUGGUGGGUAUGGAAGUGUUCUUUCCAUGGCUUUCUUCUCCUCUUGCUUCCGUUUAUUACUUUUUUCAGGCUGCACGUCACUAGGCAACACGUCCUUGACGUUGGAAGUGGAUAUUGCGGCGUCUUCCCUAGUGGCGUCACUAGGUGUGGCGGUUGUGUCUGCUGUUCUGUCAACUAUUUGCUUGCCUUCUGCUGAAGUUUCCAGCACCUUACCACUCCUCGUAGUGAUGGCCAUGCAUGACCCAUCAGUCCUUGGAUUUUGCACCGUAUCGCUAGGCAAGGUGCCGGCUUUUCUUUGGUUGAGUGUUGCUGAAAGUUGACUGAAUUGCUGCUCUAGUUGCUUGAUAGAAGUGGAAUGAGAAUCAACUAAUUGCUUCAUGGAGGCCAAAUCGUCAAUCACCUCCUUAACUCCCGCAUUCGUCGCUUCCACUCCUUUCAAUAACUUAGCCAUCAUGUCUUCCAUAGAAUUAGAUGUGGUGGUAUCACGUCUACCAGGGGGAACGUACAAACCACUGUUUUCAUUAUUUUUCUUCCAACUACCUUGGUCUUUACCUCCAGAUUUGUCAUAAUAGUUCCGACCUUGGUUUCCUUGGGCAUUCCCACGGAAACCCCCCUGAUUGUUCAAGUAGUUGGCCUCCUCUUCUGAAUCAGAUUCGUCUCUUCCUUUUGACGCAAUAGAUUUCACUUUUUCAGUCUUCCCUAAUAGAUGCUUUGUAAGAAGAUCCAUUUGGGUUUUCAUGUGCGCCAUAUCUUGAUCACGUUCUUCUUCUCUCCUUCUUUGAUCUGCAGACAUGCCAAUAGAUAAAGUGGGGCUUGCUACCUCAGAAUCCCUGGUAUGCCAAGCUCUACUUUGUUUCGUCAUACGAUCUAGCAUGUUGCUUGCUUGACCAAAGGUGAGGUCCAUAAAAGAACCUCCAGCUGCGUUGUCCACCACUGGUUUAGUUACUGAAUUCAAGGCUCUAUAUAAGAUCUCCAUGAGGUGAACAUUAGUCAUGUGAUGGUUUGGGCAUCUCGCUAGCUUUGUCUUGAACCUCUCCCAUGUUUCGUGAAGAGCUUCAGAGGGAAGCUGACGAAAGUUGCUGAUUUCAUCUCUCAAUUGAGCCCUCUUGGAUGGCGGAAAGAAUCUUUCUAGGAAAGCGUCUCUCAAUUGCCUCCAAUUUGUAAUAGAAUCAGGAGUCAGCCCAUUCAACCAUAAUGUUGCCUCCCCAGACAGAGACAAUGGAAAUAGACGUAAUCGAAUAGCAUUCUGACCAACUCCAGGAUUGUCAAAAGACUUGCAUGUAGAAAUAAAGUUGAUGAGAUGCAUAUUCGGAUCAUCGCCUGCUAGUCCACCAAAUAAUCCCUUGAGUUGCAAUAACUGAAUCAUGGUGCUAGUGAUGUUGAACUUGGCUCCGGGCGCUAAUGGUGGUGGAAUUAUAGCUCCAGUGGCUCCGGCACCAUCAAGAUCAUCAUCAUCAUCGUCGAAAGCUGGUUGCAAAGGUUGGCGAUCAUAUCUGUACCGAGCUUGUCGACCUCGUCUGUUGGUAGGUGUUGCCAUUUCAGCGCCAUGCCUUGGGUUGAUCAACUCGUCAUCUCCUAAAUCUUCAUCGUCAGGAUUUGUUGCUCGUCCAGGAUUAUCAAUGUUUUGUUGUUGGACUUGAGCAGCGGCAAGAGCAGCUAAUCUUGCUUGCUCAUGUUGAGCAGCCAUCCUGUCGAUUUCCGCUUGUGCUUCCAUUCUUCUGAUUCGUUGUGGUUCCGGAUUGAUUGGUAAUAACGGUUGACCAGAACUUCUAGUAUGGGGCAUGCACUAAAAGAAAAACCUGCAAUAAACAAAAACAAAAACUAAACGUAAAAGUACGAGAAUCUUUGACCAAAGGGUCUAGUAAUUUUCACGAACUUGAUUGACACUCGUAUUCCCCGGCAACGGCGCCAAUUUUUGAUAACGCUCAAUCUACAGCUCUCGUGGGAGUGUAAAGCGGUCGUUAGCAAAUAUAGAACCCAACCUGGGUUGGGUAUCGAUCCCACAGAGAAUAGCUUGGCCAACAAGCAAGAAAAAUUACUAGACUUUUAGUGCAAGUCUCGUAGGAAAGGGGGGAUUGUAGUAUGUAACCAAAACAAGAAUGUAAGAACUGAAAAUAGCAAAAUAAAGAGAGAUUGUCACGUGUGUUGUAAACAAUGAGAAUUGAGGCGUUGGGGUUAUGUCCACCUUCUGAGGUAUACGUCUCUAUUGGCUAUGAGUGUGUAGAGUCUUGACAUGUAAUUGCUUAUAGAGAAUUGUAGUCGAUGGUAAAUCCAAGCGUCUCUCGACCUAAACAAGGACUAUUUCACUUUAACUCUCUCGAGCUUAAAGCGUGACUAACGGUACGAAUUCUCCAAGAAGUUAGUCCAGGUACGGCACUAGCUUUUUAAUAGGAAAGGGUGUCCUACUACCUUGACAUUAUCUCUUUUCCAGACAAAUAACUUUUCUCUCGAACAAGUCAGAUGUUAGACUGGCGUUGGUCUAUGCGUCUUCUUUUCUAGACAAAUAACCUUUCUCUCGAACAGGUUAGAUGUUAGAAUGGCGUGUUCUUGUGUUUGAACCGCAAAGAAUGUAGAUUUAAGAUGAAGAGAAUAAUGAUAUAAGCAAUAUACUUGUCUUGAACUCACAAACUCAUAGCUAUAGAUAGUAACUCAUUCGGCUUCCAUAACCCCAACUAAGAGAUUUAGUUACCCAUGAAUGCGAAGGAUAUCACGUUUUGCAUGGUGGAUGGCGUGAAUAGUAGGUGUUUGGCGUGUGGUUUUAGUGAUUCCGUAGCAAGUAACAAUUCUCUUGUUGUGGAAUUUAAGAGUAGAAGAAUGAAGAAUUGAGAAUGGGUUGUAGGAAGAUGUCUUAAUUGUAAGGAGAUGAAUGAAUUGUCAGAAUGUCUCCCUUCUUGAAAAUCUCUAACAUGAUAGGGUAUUUAUAAUACUCCUAUCCUACUCCUACUAAACUAAUAAAAUAAAUAACCAAAUCCUAAUAUACUAAUGAAAUCCUUGACCCAAUUGUACUAGGGUAAGGUUACAAAAUUAUAAUCCAAAUAGAAUGAUGAAACACAUAACCUAAUUGCACUAGGUUAAUGUAUUAUGGCAAAAAUCCAGCUUUGUGUCUGUAAGUCCCAAAGUCUUCAGAAAUGCUGUUUUAGCCCGGGACAGAUUUUCCAUGCAGCAGAUUUAGUCCUUUAUGCGUCCAGCUCCUUUCCAUCUCGUUUGUGAGCUUUCUUUUGCGUCAAGUAAGCCAUAAAUUGCUGUAUUUUGCAUCAUUUAUACCUGAAACUUUCCUAAUCACAUUUGUUAGCUCAUUUACAGGAAAAAGGACUAAAAGUGUACGAAAUAGAUAAUUAGUUCUCGAAACUAGGCUAAAAUAUGGGCAAAAUAUAUUGAUAUAGGCGCGUAAUUUCGCCUAUCAUCAACACCCCACACUUAGAGCUUUGUUCGUCCUCGAACAACAUAUCAUGUCCUUCUAAGCAUUGACUUAAGGUUUUUACAGAAACAACACAAAACAUUCUUCAAGGUAUUUUUUAUGAACAUGCAUGCUUUAAAAUGGGGGUUUUCAAUCAAAUGCUAAUAUCUUGCUUUCAAUAUAAUUUCUAAGUCAUUUUCUUUAUGUUGUGGGAAUUGUUUGCCUAUAUACUUAAAUUAUUGAAACCAUGCAUAUGUGAUUUGAGAUUUUCCAUGGAAGUUUGAUAAAUAUGAAUGAUAAAUUGUUUUCAAAUUCCCGUGAUAAUGUUUCUAUACUCUAUAUUGUAUUGUGAACAACAAAAGAGAGCAUGAAUUUGAAAUAAAUAUUGUUCACCACUUGUAAAUGAUGAAGCACCUUGGUUUUUACAUGAUUAUGCAUAUGUGGAUGUGAUAUUGAUGACUUGCAAGUCGGGUAUGAAGAUACCCUUCAGAAUACGAUAUCAGAUUGAAUAAGAUGAAAUUUAAAUACAUUGAUUUUACAUGAGAAAGGUGGAUGCCUAAAGAAGGCAUUUGAGACACAAGGGCUCAUCAUUGGAAAACGUGUUUACCGACAUGGAAUAUUGGUACCAGGUUAAGUGAUCUUGUGUACUUGACUUCAUGUCAUUCCCAAAUUGGGACUAUAGGUAGGAGCCCAGGCUAAGUGAUCUCGGGCACUACCAUUAGGUCGAUACACCAUGCUAUGUGAUCUUGUGUGUCUCUCCCUCACUUAUACUCUAAUCUCGGCGGCAACCGAGGUUUGACAGUUGGAGUAAAUCAUGUAGGGUGUUUCACCUAGCUCAGUUGCAUUUCAUUAUUGUUGAGAAAAACUAUUGUAUUACACCCAUGUGCUUUCAAAUGAUUUGAUACGAAAUUGCUUUAUAAUGGCUCUUAACUAUGUAUUGUAAAAAUAUUAUAUUUUAUUUUGAUAUAUCUGUGUGCCAGUACUUUUGUGUUGACCCCCUUCCCUCUCUAACCACUCAGGUUCAGAGGCCCAAUUCAGGGGUCAAGAGAAUCAGUAGAUCUUUCUGUCAGAGCUGUAGAGACAAGUGGUGAGACUUCUAUGUUUCGGAAGGUCUUAUGUCCUGCAGUCCUUUUAUCUUAUAUUCAGUUUUAGGGUUUACUGGGGGCCUUGUCCUAGUUUAUAUACGGUUACUUGACUCAGUCAUUUGUUGGAUAUUUUCACAGACAGUUGUUUAGAGGUUAAUUGAUGUUGAGGGAACCUUAUCUCCCUGUUAUUGUUUCUUUUCAUAUUUAUGACCAUGUUUUUGAAUUAUUGUGUUUUUCCGCAUUACUUUGAUCAUAUGAAUUAGGUGCAUGAUUACCAGACAGAUAGGGGUAUUUUGGGCCUCCAUAGUUUGAAAUGCUCGUCACGGCCAGGCUCGGUUCAGGUCGUGACAAGCUUGGUAUCAAAGCAUAGUUCAUGGUCCUAGGGUGUCUGCGAAAUCACGUUAGAUAUACUCUUAUUUAUGGGUGUGGAGCGUGUCACACUCAUAAGCAGGAGGCUGCUAGGCAUUUAGGAAAUGUUUCCCUUCUUUUUGAUUUAGUUCGUGCUUCAGAGUCUAAACUGUACCCUAAUCAAUGAUCACUUGUGUUUCAGAAAACACAGUUAUGCCUCUACGUCGUAUCAUCGAUCAGAAUGCUCAGGAAGAUGAGGUCCGUCCUACCCAUGGGAUGUGGAACCAUAACAGGGCUCACACUCCAAAAUUUGUCCCUACUCCGGGAGUCCCUCCAAUCCCGACCAGUCCACCUCGGGCUCCGCAGACUAAUGUUAAUCGUCCCCCAACUGCUCAAGGAGAUAUUUCAAAUGCAGAAUUCAGAUGGUCUAUUCAUAGGCUGACACAAUUGGUAGCUAACUAGGCUUAAAGAUCAGAAGAUGUUGGGUCUGCAUCUGUUACAUUUGAGGCUACUAGAGUCGGUCAUUUCAUAAAGAUAAACCCACCUAAGUUCACUGGCACUAAGGUAGAGAAAGAUCCACGGGAGUUCGUGGAUGAGAUGGAAAGGAUCUUUAAGGUGAUGUAUGUGGAUGAGGUUGAGGGGGUGGAGCUAGCAACCUAUCAGCUCAAGGAUGUUGCGAAUCAGUGGUAUGCCGACUGGGAAGAUGAAAAAAGGUGAAAGUGCUGAGCCCACAGUUUGGGUCAAAUUUGUGAAAGAUUUUCUUGAUCGAUUCUUUCCUCUGGAGUUGAGGGAGGCCAAAGUGGAAGAGUUUAUGAAUCUAAAGUAGGGCAGGAUGAGUGUCCAGGAGUGCACUUUGAAGUUUAAUAAACUAGCCCGCUAUGCACCAGAGUUGACUAGUAAUAUCAGAGCCUAGAUGAGGAAGUUUGUAUCUGGCCUUGCUGAUAACCUGGUACUUGAGUGCCAGGGUGCUAUGUUGAAUAAGGAGUUAGACUUUGCUCGGCUGACCGUUCAUAUACAGUAGGUGGAUGAGAAGAAGAAAACGAUUGCUGAAUCUAGAGAGAAAGACAGAUAGGCUAAGAGAGCUAGAUCUGCGGACCAGCACCAGAGUCAGCCGCAGAGUGGUAACUGGAGUAAUAAGUGGUCAAAGAAGAAAAAGUUUUGGAAUAAUACACAAUCAGCAGCCAGUGCCCUGACACCCAGACCACCGACAGAAAGACAAACUCAGAUUUUUCAGAUUCCUCAUGGGUCCAAAGCUCUAGGUACACAGUCUUAGGGCAGUGUGGCCCAGCAGCAUCAUACUUAUCCAUGGUGUGAGGUUUGCGAAAGGAAUUAUCGAGGGAAGUGUUGGUUUGAGGGGAGAAACUGCUAUACUUAUGGCAAAGUGGGUCACCUUUAGAGAGAUUGUCCUUCUAUUGGAGGAAGGGGGGGAGGGGGGGCUAAGUCCCAAGCCGCCUUCACAGCUCCUUUUUCUAAGGGUGCCCCUUCAGCUGCCGAAAGCGUUCGCAACUGGUUAUAUUCUUUGACUAACCGCCAGGAGGCGGAAGUUUCACCAGAUGUUGUCAUCGGUAUGUUACGAAUCUUUUCUUAUGAUGUUUAUGUAUUUCUCGAUCCAGGGUCUACUUUGUCUUAUGUGACCCCUUAUGUGGCUGUUGGUUUUGGGUUUGAGCCUGAAGUUAUUCUAGAACCCUUCUCUGUUUCUACUCUUGUACGUGAUUCUGUUGUUGCUAGAAGGGUGUAUAGAAAUUGUUUCGUGUCUAUUCAUAGUAGGGAAACUAUGACAGACCUUAUAGAACUGGAUAUGAUAGAUUUUGAUGCCAUCCUUGGGAUGGGCUGGCUCCAUUUGUGUUAUGCCACCCUUGAUUGCAGAACCCGAAAGGUUAUUUUUUCUUUCCUGAAUGAGACACCAAUUGUAUGGGCAGGGAGUUCGAUAGAACCUAGAGGUCACUUUAUCUCUUAUCUUAAAGCCCGGAAGCUUGUCUCUGAAGGUUGUAUGUAUCAUCUAAUCCGAGUAAAAGAUUCAAAAGUUGGAAACCUUCCUCUGUAGUCAGUCCCUAUAGUGAACGAAUUUCCAGAAGUCUUUUCCAAAGAUCUCCCAGGGAUACCCCUGAUAGGGAGAUAGAUUUUGGCAUUGAUGUAUUGCCAGACACUCGUCCUAUUUCUAUUCCGCCAUAUAGAAUGGCUCCCACGGAACUAAAAGAGUUAAAGGAACAACUUGUAGACCUCCUAGACAAAGGUUUUAUUCAUCCUAGUGUUUCCCUAUAUGGUGCACCCGUGCUCUUCGUGCGAAAGAAGGAUGAGUCCCUUCGGAUGUGCAUAGACUACCGUCAGUUAAAUAAGGUCAUGAUUAAAAAUAAAUAUCCUCUUCCUAGGAUUGAUGACCUUUUUUACCAGCUUCAGGGUACCAAGUGUUUUUCAAAAAUAGACCUUCGUUCGGGUUAUCAUCAGUUGAAAUUUAGGGAGUUAGACAUACCCAAGACAACCUUCCGAACCCGAUAUGGUCACUACGAAUUUCUAGUCAUGUCCUUCGGGUUGACUAACACCUCUGCAGCCUUCAUGGAUCUUAUGAAUAGAGUGUUCCGUCAGUUUCUUGACUUGUUCAUUGUAUUUAUUGAUGAUAUUCUAAUCUAUUCUAAGAGUAAAGAGGAUCACGCCAAUCACCUCUGAAUUAUUCUUCAGACCCUUAAGGAUCAUUAGCUGUAUGCCAAAUUUUCUAAGUAUGAAUUCUGGUUAGACGCUAUUUGCUUCCUGGGGCAUAUUAUGUCCAGUGACGGGAUAAGAGUGGAUCCCCAAAAAGUUGAAGCAGUGAGAAAAUGGCCCAGACCCAUGACUCCAAUCGAUAUUCGGAGCUUUUUGGGUUUGGUGGGGUAUUAUAGAAGUUUCGUAGAGAGUUUUGCUUCCAUAGCUGCUCCGCUUACUAAACUGACUCAGAAAAAGAUAAAGUUUGUGUGGUCUGACUUGUGUGAAAAUAGUUUUGAGAAAUUUAAGGACAAGCUGACUACUGCUCCUGUUUUGACCCUUCCCAAGGGUGUAGAUGAUUUUGUGGUUUAUUGUGAUGCGUUCUGUAUGGGACUUGGUUGUGUAUUGAUGCAGCGUGGUAAGGUGAUAGCUAAUGCAUCUAGGCAGUUAAAGGUGCAUGAGCGCAAUUACCCCAGUCAUGACUUGGAGUUAGUAGCCAUGGUGUUUGCACUUAGAAACUAGAGGCACUAUCUCUAUGGAGUACAUGUUGAUAUUUAUGCUGACCAUAAGAGUUUUCAGUAUAUUUUCUCACAGAAAGAAUUGAACCUCAGGUAGAGGCGUUGGAUGGAGCUUUUGAAAGACUAUGAUAUGAGUCUACAUUACUAUCCGGGCAAGGCAAAUAUUGUAGCCGACGCCCUUAGCAGGUUGUCUAUGGGCAACCUUUCUCAUGUAGAAGAAGGAAAGAAAGAAAUGGUGAAGGAUAUUCAUCGCCUUGCAAAUCUGGGAGUGCGACUCUUAGAUUCUGAAGAUGGAGGGGUGAUUGUUCAUGAGUUAGCUAAGUCAUCUCUUUAUGCUAAAGUUAUGAAAAAGCAGGUUGAAGAUCCCAUCUUGGUGCAAAUAAAGAAAGAUGUGGGUCAAUAGAAGGAAAGAAAGAAAUGGUGAAGGAUAUUCAUCGCCUUGCAAAUCUGGGAGUGCGACUCUUAGAUUCUGAAGAUGGAGGGGUGAUUGUUCAUGAGUUAGCUAAGUCAUCUCUUUAUGCUAAAGUUAUGAAAAAGCAGGUUGAAGAUCCCAUCUUGGUGCAAAUAAAGAAAGAUGUGGGUCAAUAAAAGGUUAUGUCGUUUGAAAUUGGUGGUGAUGGUAUUCUGAGAUUUUAGGGUAGGUUGUGCAUUCUGAAUGUCGAUGGGCUAUGGGAAAAAAUCCUUAAUGAGGCGCACACUUUGAGGUAUGUCAUUCACCCAGGCUCUACUAAGAUGUACCAGGAUCUAAAAACCUUAUAUUGGUGGAAUAACAUGGAACGUGAUGUAGCUGAUUUUGUGUCCAAGUGUUUGAACUAUUAACAAGUGAAGGUGGAACACAUGAGGCCAGGUGGUACUUCCCAAAAGAUAGCCCUACCUUUAUAGAAGUGGGAGAUGAUAAACAUGGACUUCAUUACAGGACUUCUGAGAUCCCGAAACCAGUAUGAUUCUAUAUGGGUGAUUGUAGAUCGAUUGACCAAGUCAUCCCACUUUUUGCUUGGGAGGACUAAUUAUUCGGGAGAGGUUUAUGCUAAGAUUUACCUUGAGGAGAUAGUUUGAUUGCAUGGGGCACCAGUUUCCACUAUAUCUGAUAGACGUACGCAGUUUUCAUCUCAGUUUUGGAGAACCUUUCAGAAGUGUUUAGGUACACAAGUGAAUUUGAGCAUAGCUUUCCACCCUCAGACGGAUGGGAAAGAUGAGCGUACCAUUCAGAACCUCGAAGAUAUGUUGAGGGCAUGCGUCAUUGAUUUCAAAGGUAGUUGGGUAGAUCAUCUUCCACUGGUUGAAUUCGCUUACAAUAAUAGCUACCAUGCCAGCAUCAAGAUAGCUUUUUUUGAGGCUUUGUAUGGAAGGAGAUGUAGGUCUCCGAUAGGAUGAUAUGAAGUGGGUGAGACUCAGUUGUAUGGGCCUGAUCUUGUUCAUCAGGCGAUGGAGAAAGUGAAGAUAAUUAGAGAACGACUAAAGACUUCUCAGAGUCGUCAGAAGUCCUAUGCCAAUGUUCGGAGAAGAGAACUAGAGUUUGAAAUUGGUGAUUGGGUGUUUCUCAAGGUUUCUCCUAUGAAAGGAGUUAUGCGGUUUGGAAAAAGGGGUAAAUUAAGCCCUCUUUAUGUAGCACCAUAUCAGAUUUUGAAAAAGAUUGGUAUAGUUGCAUAUGAGUUAGAAUUGCCUGCAAGUUUGGGUUCCGUUCAUCUGGUAUUCCAUGUAUCCAUAUUGAAUAAAUUCAUUGGAGAUCAUUCUAUGGUAUUGCCAGUAGAGGGUAUCAAAGUGACAGACUCCUUGUAUUACGAAGAAGAGCCCGUUGACAUUUUAGAUUGCCAAGUUCGAAAGCUGAGGAGCAAGGAAAUAUCCUCAGUAAAGGUACUGUGGAGGAAUCAGAAAGUCGAAGAAGCAACUUGGGAGUCAGAAAAUGACAUGAGAAUUAGAUAUCCUAAUUUGUUUGCUUCGAUGGAAGAGGAGACAGAAGGUACUAUUCCUAUCUUAUCUUUCCUAGUCCUUUAUUAUGCUUGAAAUCGUGUCUUUCUAUGUCCCGCAUCAUCAUUCGGGGAUGAAUAAUCCUAAGGGGAGAUAAUGUAAUGCCCCGUAAUUCGGGCUAUCAUAUAGACCAUAAUUUUGAUGCAUUGUUAAUCCCGAAGCCAUAAAAUCCUAUGCUGAUACGGCAUGUUAAUUAUUGUGUGGCAUGUGAAUCCACUCAAGCUUUAGUUUAGACCAUAGAGGUCCUUCAACUCAAGGACAAGUUGAAACUAUUACGAUCGACUAAGUUUUAGUGGAUGUUGUAAAGUGUGUCAGCUUCCAUCGACCAUAACUCUCUAUAUAUGUCGAAUUAGAGAGCCUACUAUGUUUCAAAUGAUAGGUAUUCAAGUUAGCUUUCCAACAAUACCAAUUUGGCUUAAAAGCCGACACCCGAGCAAGAAGUUAUGGCCCUUUAAAGUGAUAAGCGUCGCCUAACCAAUCGCCCAUGGCCACUGGAAAGCAUAGGCAAUAGCCUAUGCGGCGCCUAUGUAAACAUAGGCGAUAGCCUAGGCGGCACCUAUGUGAACAUAGGCAAUGGGAUGGGCUGCGCCUAUGUAAACAAUUCUAGUGACUUAAACACUCCGUGUUGAGGAAUAAGUGGUCCUUUUCCACCCUUACUUAGCCCUAAAAUACGAAAUCUAGUUCCAAGGACCCCAAAAUACAUAUUCUUUCAUCAAAAGUGCUUAAGGAUUCUCCUUAGGGUUUCAAAAUAAAAACCCAAAUAGUUCAAGAUUUGACCGUAGAUUUUCAAAGAUAAUUACAUAUUUGGAAUCACCAAUCUGCAAGCUUCAAGAAACAUCUAUUAUCCUGGGAAAUAGAGGUACGUGGGGUUAUCCAAAAAUCUCAUGGGUGUAGUUUUUAUGAACAUGCAUGCUUUAAAAUGGGGGUUUUCAAUCAAAUGCUAAUAUCUUGCUUUUAAUAUGUUUUCUAAGUCAUUUUCUUUAUUUUGUGGGAAUAGUUUACCUAUAUACUUCAAUGGUUGAAACCAUGCAUAUGUGAUUUGAGAUUUUCCAUGGAAGUUUGAUAAAUAUGAAUGAUAAAUUGUUUUCAAAUUCCCAUGAUAAUGUUUCGAUACUCCAUAUUGCAUUGUGAUCAACAAAAGAGAGCAUGAAUUUGAAAUAAAUAUUAUUCACCACUUGUAAAUGAUGAAGCACCUUGGUUUUUACAAGAUUAUGCAUAUGUGGAUGUGAUAUUGAUGACUUGCAAGUUGGGUUUGAAUAUACCCUUCAGAAUACGAUAUGUGAUUGAAUAAGAUGAAAUUUGAAUGCAUUGAUUUUACAUGAGAAAGGUGGAUGCCCGAAGAAGGCGCUUGAGACACAAGGGCUCAUCAUUGGAAAACGUGUUUACCGACAUGGAAUAUUGGUACCAGGCUAAGUGAUCUUGUGUACUUGACUUCAUGUCAUUCCCAAAUUGGGACUAUAGGUAGGAGCCCGGGCUAAGUGUUCUUGGGCACUACCAUUGGGUCGAGACACCAUGCUUUGUGAUCUUGUGUGUCUCUCCCUCACUUAUACUCCAAUCUCGGUGGCAAUCGAGGUUUGACAGUUAGUGUAAAUUAUGUAGGGUAUUCCACCUAUCUUAGCUGCAUUUCAUUAUUGUUGAGAAAAACUAUUGUAUUACACCCAUGUGCUUUCAAAUGAUUUGAUACGAAAUUGCUUUAUAAUGGCUCUUAACUAUGUAUUGUAAAAAUAUUAUGUUUUGUCUUGAUAUCUCUGCGUGCCAGUACUUUUGUGCUGACCCCCUCCCUUCUCCAACCUCUCAGGUUCAGAGGCCCAGUCUAGGGGUCAAGAGAAUCAGUAGAUCUUUCUGUCAGAGCUGUAGAGACAAGUGGUGAGCUUUCUAUGUUUCGGAAGGUCUUAUGUCCUGCUGUCCUUUUAUCUUAUAUUCAGUUUUAGGGUCUACUGGGGGCCUUGUCCUAGUUUAUAUACGGUUACUUGACUCAGUAAUUUGUUAGAGAUUUUCGCAGAUAUUUAUUUAGAGGUUAAUUGAUGUUGAGGGAACCUUUUCUCCCCGUAAUUGUUUCUUUUCAUAUUUAUGACCAUGUUUCCAAAUUAUAGUGUUUUUCCGCAUUACUUUGAUCAUAUGAAUUAGGUGCAUGAUUACCAGACAAAUAGGGGUGUUUCGGGCCUCCAUGGUUCGAAAUGUUCGUCACAGCCAGGCCCCGGUUUGGGUUGUGACAAUCGGAGUAAUAAAAGAUCAAAAAAACCUAUAUGAAAUAAUACAAAUCCUAGGAAAACUAGAAAUAAUUGGAAAGAAACUCUUGAAGCACUAGGACUCUAAUCAAAUUACCUAUAAAUUAGAAAUAAUCAAUCUAGAAUAUACUAUAAAGACAACAUCUAUAAAAGCUACAAAUGAAGAUCUUAAAGAUUUUAAAGUACAAAUAAAGGAACUGUUAGAAUUAGGGAUAAUUAGGAGAUCCAAGUCAAGACAUAGAUGAACAACUCUCAUAGUAAGAAACCAUAGUGAAAUGGUACGAGGGAAAGCUAGAAUGGUAAUAAAUUACAAAAGACUAAAUGAUAAUACUACUAUGGAUUGAUAUAAGUUACCAGACAAAACAGAAUUAAUAAAUAGAAUACAAGGAAGAAAAGUAUUUAGUAAGUUCAAUUAUAAAUCUGGAUAUUGGAAAAUUAAGAUGCACGAGGAUAGUAUAGAAUGGACAGCUUUCACAUGUCCAGAAGGGCAUUUUGAAUGGCUAGUUAUGUCGUUCGGACUAAAAACAGCUCCUCCAAUUAUCCAAAGAAAAAUAAAUUGUAUUUUUUUGUAAUUAUAAGAAUUUUGUAUUAGUAUAUGUAGAUGACAUUUUAGUUUUCAGUAAUAACAUGAGAGAACAUCUAGGACAUUUACAACAAGUCUUUAAAUUGUUUGUAGACAAUGGAAUAAUAAUAAGUAGAAAGAAAAUGGAACUAUACAAAAAUAAUAUUAAUUUUCUAGGAGUAGUCAUUGGGGAUGGUAGACUAAAACGACAACCACACAUAGCUAAGAAUGUCUUACAAAUGCUAGAUAGAUUAGAUAAGACCAAGGAUUUGCAAAAAAUUUUAGGACUACUAAAUUAUGCUGAAACUUUCAUUAACGAUUUAGGAAAGGUAGCAGAGAUGCUAUAUUCUAAAAUUGGAUCAACAUGCUAGAAGAUUUUAAUGCUGAAGAUAUAAAAUUAGUCCAACAGCUUAAACACGUGAUCCAAGAUAUCCCAGAAUUGACACUGCCAUUAAAAAUAGACUAUUUAACAGUCGAAACUGAUUGAAGUCUUCGAGGAUGGAGAGCAAUAUUAAAAGCAAAACCUAAUAAAUACAGUGAGAAGAAAGAUGAGAAAAUUUUUGCUUACUCAAGCAUAAAAUAUAAGAAAAAAGGAAAUCUGAGUAGGAUAGACAUGGAAACCCUAGCAGUAAUCUACAAUUUAAAUAGUUUUAAGCUUUAUAUACAAAAUAAACCUGAAAUAUUAGUUAGAACUGACUGCGAAACUAUAGUAAAAUUCUUUCAAAAAAUAAAAGAAAAGAAUAGUAGUAAAAUGAGGUGGAUAACAUUAUGCUGGAAAUUAUUAAAGGAAAAGGUAAUAACCUAGAAAAUCAAGUUAGUAGACUAAUAAAAUACAACUAAUGAGUUUUGUUUCAGUAUGUAUACAGGCUAGGGAAAAGGUAAGGCUGAGGCCUUGUCCUCCCAAGACUAUCUGAGGAAUUUAAUGAGCAAUACUUAUUAAAGACCACUUACAAUGUUGGAACAUCUGAAAUUAGAAAGGAUAAUUUUCGGGCCGCACAACUUGAUCAGUUAUGAGCGCUCCAACCUGACUUUCAAGAUUAGACCAGACGUGCGAGUGGACAAAAAACAAAUAUUACUGAUCAACAAUUUAUGGAUAUCUUACAAUAAGACACCCAAAACCAAUAGAUAUUUCAUUUCAGUCCUAAAUACUUUAAGUUAUUAUUUUACUGAGAAGAAUAACACUAAUAGAUUUUAAUUUUAUGUUGUUCUUAGGGGACAAACACAAGGAGUAUUUCAGACAUGGAUAGAGGUGAUCGACUCUAUAAAAUACUAUACAAUUCUUCUAUAUAAGAAUUUCAAUGACCUCACAGAGGCAUUAGACUAUGCUCGAGGAAAUCUAGGGCCAACUAUUAUAUUAAUCAGCUUUAAGACCAACUAUGAAAGAAGUUUCAGAAUAUAAUAUAAAAAAGAUACAAGAUAAAAUCAUAUUAUGUGAUCAUUGUUCUUCGAUGAACGAAACUUUUAGAAGACUAAAUCAUGCAAAUGAGGCUUUAAGACAAGACAAUGAGAACCUUAUAAAUGAAAAAGUACAAAUGAUAGAACAUAUAGGACUUUUACAAGAUCGUAUUAAAG
Molecule: long non-coding RNA, 32224 nt
Filed under: Capsicum annuum
Lineage: Eukaryota; Viridiplantae; Streptophyta; Magnoliopsida; Solanales; Solanaceae
Description: long non-coding RNA (CANN_LNC013782)
Source: RNAcentral